Molecule: ribosomal RNA, 450 nt
Filed under: uncultured bacterium
Lineage: Bacteria
Description: partial 16S ribosomal RNA
Rfam family: Bacterial small subunit ribosomal RNA
Source: RNAcentral
GUGGGGAAUAUUGGACAAUGGGCGCAAGCCUGAUCCAGCAAUGCCGCGUGCAGGAAGAAGGCCUUCGGGUUGUAAACUGCUUUUGUACGGAACGAAAAGGCUCUGGCUAAUACCUGGAGCUCAUGACGGUACCGUAAGAAUAAGCACCGGCUAACUACGUGCCAGCAGCCGCGGUAAUACGUAGGGUGCGAGCGUUAAUCGGAAUUACUGGGCGUAAAGCGUGCGAAGGCGGUGCUGUAAGACAGGCGUGAAAUCCCCGGGCUCAACCUGGGAAUUGCGGUUGUGACUGCAGCGCUGGAGUGCGGCAGAGGGGGAUGGAAUUCCGCGUGUAGCAGUGAAAUGCGUAGAUAUGCGGAGGAACACCGAUGGCGAAGGCAAUCCCCUGGGCCUGCACUGACGCUCAUGCACGAAAGCGUGGGGAGCAAACAGGAUUAGAAACCCUAGUAGUCC